GAAUGUCAGGGAGAUCUGGUUGUGACAUCUGUCAAUCCUUGGAUCACCAGCGCUGAUUUGGCUGGUCUGGUUGGUGAGGCGGCAACCCCGGUCUCCUCACUGCUCCAUGUGUGUCCCUCUUGAAGAUGUGAGGAAUGCAUUUCUCAGAAAAAUUGACUGCCGGAGACAAAAAGGGCAUCAUUUGCCCACAAACAAAAACAGAGCACAGAAG
Molecule: small nuclear RNA, 211 nt
Filed under: Echinops telfairi (small Madagascar hedgehog)
Lineage: Eukaryota; Metazoa; Chordata; Mammalia; Afrosoricida; Tenrecidae
Description: 7SK RNA (ENSETEG00000025825.1)
Rfam family: 7SK RNA (bases 1-185)
About the family: 7SK was discovered as an abundant small nuclear RNA in the mid-70s but a possible function has only recently been suggested. Two independent studies have found that 7SK RNA binds the CDK9/cyclin T complex (known as elongation factor P-TEFb). P-TEFb activates transcription by phosphorylating the C-terminal domain of RNA polymerase II.
Source: RNAcentral